UGAGUAACCUGCCCUUAACUCUGGGAUAAGCCUGGGAAACUGGGUCUAAUACCGGAUAUGACUCCUCAUCGCAUGGUGGGGGGGUGGAAAGCUUUUUGUGGUUUUGGAUGGACUCGCGGCCUAUCAGCUUGUUGGUGAGGUAAUGGCUCACCAAGGCGACGACGGGUAGCCGGCCUGAGAGGGUGACCGGCCACACUGGGACUGAGACACGGCCCAGACUCCUACGGGAGGCAG
RNAcentral lists this ribosomal RNA (234 nucleotides) under uncultured bacterium. Its description in RNAcentral is "partial 16S ribosomal RNA". It matches the Rfam family "Bacterial small subunit ribosomal RNA", at positions 118 to 351 of the family's 1533-position model. The record is from RNAcentral.